GCUAAUUCUAGCCCAAACCAUAAACUAUUAUACUAUCUAAUCAUACCAAUUAAAUCAUUUACCCAUUACAAAAGUAUAGGUGAUAGAAAUUGAACUUAGGCGCAAUAGAUACAGUACCGCAAGGGAAAGACAAAUCCUCACAAAGCAUAAAAAAGCAAAGAUAAACCCUUCUACCUUUUGCAUAAUGAAUUAACUAGAAACUAUAUUGUACAAAGAACUUCAACAAUACUCCCCGAAACCAAGCGAGCUACCCACGGACAGCUAAAGAGCAUACCCGUCUAUGUGGCAAAAUAGUGGGAAGAUCUAUGGGUAGAGGCGACAAACCUACCGAGCUUGGUGAUAGCUGGUUAUCCAAGACAGAAUUUCAGUUCAACAUUAAAUUUACUUACAGAACUCCCAAUCCCCUCGUAAAUUUAAUAGCUAUUCUAAAGAGGGACAGCUCUUUAGACAAUAGGAAACAACCUUAUAUAGAGAGUAAAACACCUAACUACUACAGUAGGCUUUAAAGCAGCCACCAAUUAAGAAAGCGUUCAAGCUCAACACCCUCACUCCUCUAAUUCCACCCAUUUUACUGAACUCCUAUAACAUAUUGGAUUAAUCUAUUUCCAAAUAGAAGUAAUAAUGUUAGUAUAAGUAACAUGAAAUUAUUCUCCCUGCAUAAGCUUAUCCCAGACCGGAACUACCACUGCUAGUUAACAGCCAAAUCACCUUAUCCCACAACUUCAUCCGCCCAUUAUCCUAACUGUUAACCCAACACAGGCAUGCUAUUCAGGAAAGAUUAAAAAAAGUAAAAGGAACUCGGCAAACUCUACCCCCGCCUGUUUACCAAAAACAUCACCUCUAGCAUAAAUAGUAUUAGAGGCACUGCCUGCCCAGUGACACAUGUUCAACGGCCGCGGUACCCUGACCGUGCAAAGGUAGCAUAAUCACUUGUUCUCUAAAUAAGGACUUGUAUGAACGGCCACACGAGGGUUUAACUGUCUCUUACUUUUAAUCAGUGAAAUUGACCUAUCCGUGAAGAGGCGGAUAUAUUUAAAUAAGACGAGAAGACCCUAUGGAGCUUUAAUUUAAUAGUACAAACUAGUAGCUUAAAAACCCACAGGCAUUAAAUUACAAUCCAUGUACUAUAAAUUUCGGUUGGGGUGACCUCGGAGCAUAAUUCAACCCCCGAGAAAUAUAUACCAAGACCUUACUAGUCUAAGUGAACCUAAAUUCAUUGACCCAAUAAAUUGAUCAACGGACCAAGUUACCCUAGGGAUAACAGCGCAAUCCUAUUACAGAGUCCAUAUCGACAAUAGGGUUUACGACCUCGAUGUUGGAUCAAGACAUCCUAGUGGUGCAGCCGCUACUAAAGGUUCGUUUGUUCAACGAUUAAAGUCUUACGUGAUCUGAGUUCAGACCGGAGCAAUCCAGGUCGGUUUCUAUCUAUUAAAUAUUUCUCCCAGUACGAAAGGACAAGAGAAAUAGGGCCCACCUUUCAUAAGCGCCCUCACAAACCUAAUGACUUCCAUCUUAAUUUUAUAAUUUUUUCAACCCGCCCUAAACCAGGGCUU
This 1553-nucleotide ribosomal RNA is filed under the name Plecturocebus cupreus (coppery titi). RNAcentral's name for it is "16S ribosomal RNA". It matches the Rfam family "Bacterial large subunit ribosomal RNA". Lineage: Eukaryota; Metazoa; Chordata; Mammalia; Primates; Pitheciidae. The record is from RNAcentral.